This 465-nucleotide ribosomal RNA is filed under the name uncultured bacterium. RNAcentral's name for it is "bacterial SSU rRNA". It matches the Rfam family "Bacterial small subunit ribosomal RNA", at positions 33 to 507 of the family's 1533-position model. The record is from RNAcentral.
GACGACGCUGGCGGCGUGCUUAAAACAUGCAAGUCGAACGGACUUCUCAUGAAGCUUGCAAUUGAGAAGUUAGUGGCGGACGGGUGAGUAACGCGUGGGCAACCUGCCCCUGAGCCCGGGAUAACAGUUCGAAAGGACUGCUAAGACCGGAUAUACUUGCGGGGAAGCAUUUCUCUGUAAGGAAAGGGAACGCUCAGGGAUGGGCCCGCGUCCCAUUAGCUAGUUGGUGAGGUAACGGCCCACCAAGGCGACGAUGGGUAGCCGGCCUGAGAGGGUGAACGGCCACACUGGGACUGAGACACGGCCCAGACUCCUACGGGAGGCAGCAGUUGGGAAUCUUCGGCAAUGGGCGCAAGCCUGACCGAGCAACGCCGCGUGAGUGAUGAAGGUUUUCGGAUUGUAAAGCUCUGUCUUCCGGGACGAUAAUGACGGUACCGGAGGAGGAAGCCACGGCUAACCUACGUG